CAGAACCAGAAAGCUUCACAGUGCAUAAGCCUGCCAGUGUUCUCCUCGUCUAUCGCUUCAGUCAAUAGAAGUUUAUUUAUUUUCCGUCUCCUCCUGUGAUCGGCGCUCUAACAAGAGGGGACAGCUGCUCAGGUGGUCAUUUGCGACCACAUCCUUGACAAUUUCAUUUUCAUUUUUUCCCUCGGAUGAACCACAGACUGUCCCGCCAGCUUAUCGAGCCAAAGCCUGGUUUAAAGACAGGGGGCACUCACUUUAUUUCAAGUUGGCCUUUUCUUCAGUCUGGAGUCGCAGCACAUGGAAAUUAGACUGUCGAUCCAGACACAGGAUGGGGACCCUGCUGGAGCAGAGCGACUUGGCAAGAAUAAAAAAGUGCGAGCUGAGGAGCUGCCACAGGGUCAGAGCUUCCUGCAGCUGACAUUGCUCUUGUUCCUUGUACAGUGUCCCGACCAACACCCUGUCUCUUCCUGCGUUGAGCAUCUCGACCGUCGUCCCGUGUGUUCCUGCUUCAGGGGGGUCCCGGCCAACACCCUGUCUGUUCCCAGCCAAUUUCCUGUCUGUUCCUGGAUCGGUCGAUGCCUGGUCUGGUCCUGAGUCUGUUCCUGGGUGGGCAAACGCCUCCACUACGCCUGAGCCAGCCGACGCCUCUCCUGUUCCUGGGUCGACCAACGCCUCCACUAUCCCUGGGCUGGCCAACACCACUCCCCGUUCCAAACCAGCCGAUUAUCCCCAUUUGGGUUAUUUUUUUGUUGGACUUGCCAGCCGCCUUUAGUCAUUUUGUGUUGCUCUGUCAGCUUUUGUGUCCACCUCCGAUGAGUUUAUUAAAGUCACCCUACGAAUCCAUCAGAGGUUGUUACAAAGUUAUGUAAAGCAGCAGUCAUGUCAAAAGGAGGAUUUACAAAAUGCUCAACAAAAAAAGAAAGAAAAGAGGCAUCAAAAGCAUCAAAUUUGAAAUAGUAAUAAUACAACUGCGAACACAACAGUCUUACAAAUUAAGUUUAAAAUGCGCAUAAUUUAAAAAUAUCUGUGUAGACUGCAAAAUAUCUACACACUCAUUGACACUAACAGCCUGAGAGAAUAACACUGCAUACUAGAUUAGGUUUCACACUCACUCGCUCACUCACUACAGAAAACCAUGCAGAAUACACAUGCAUGGUUGUAUGUAUUCUUUUUUAUACAUAUAAGUAUGAAAAAGAAAAUGGUGUACGCGCGGUUUUGGCAUGUGUCGAUGCAUCUGGCCCCCUGGCGAUGGCACAGGAUAGCGCGCAGAAACACUACCAAACAUUCACUGAUCGCGUGUUGACUUUAUGUCAGUGCGUUUCAUAUGUGCUGUGACAAAUCUGCCAGGAUCCUGUGCGCUCGUGCCCCGAGGUUGUGUGGUGAAGACUGGCGCCGGUACACAGGGUGUUGCGGGGGCAUCGACCCGCUCCGCUGCCACCUACAGUGCAGGGCUGCAGUAUUUCCAAUGCAUCAGCCAGAGCAGUGAGUGGAACCAAUGCCGGCGUGAUUAGUCUGGCUGGGGGGUAAAUGAAAACCAUUAUCAAGGUUUUUCUCUCUGCCGCAUCCUAAUGCAAAGCAGGAGGAAGGUGAUUUGAAUUGCUAAAGCAGCGCCGGCGUUGCUCGUUUGGCACUGGACAAUCUCGAUCGGUGGCUGCCGCUCUGCGUGCUGACUUUGUUUUGUUUUGCCAUGUGUGUUGAAAUGAGCGUCAUUAUCAACUGUGACACUCUCAGUGGGCUGGUGUUCCACUGGUUGGGUCCCGCGGUGCACCAGCCUUGUAAUUUUGGUUAAAAAAAAAAAGAAAAAAUUGACAGAGAUAAAGCUUUUUAUUCCUUUCCAUCGAUGACUGCGAGGUAAAUGAGCUGAAAAAAUGAACACGUCUGCCGCAUUAUCGGCUAAAAUACCUUAGCAUGCCAAGAUUAUGCUGUAUAAUUAUGCUGCUUGUAUUU
This 1944-nucleotide long non-coding RNA is filed under the name Sparus aurata (gilthead seabream). RNAcentral's name for it is "lncRNA (ENSSAUG00010022366.1)". Lineage: Eukaryota; Metazoa; Chordata; Actinopteri; Spariformes; Sparidae. The record is from RNAcentral.